UACAGGUGUGAGCCACCACAUUUGGCCCUAUUUUUAUGGUUAUUUCUUGAUGAUAUGCAUGUAGGGUUAAGCCCUACGGGAUCAUGGGAUGUCCCCUAUCGCUGUGCUGAGGCACAGGAUCCGAGAAAUAAAGAAAGACACAGAAUGACAAACAAAGCGCAGCUGGGCUCUGGGGGGGCCACACCACCUACAAGCGGAGACAGGCGAGGCCCCAAACAUCCAGGAGCGUCUGUAUUUAUUGGGUAUAGGUUAGGGGGCAGGGUAGUAAGUGAGAUCAUCUUUAAGGAUAGUGAUAGGGUCAAGACAUUCACGUGAGCGAUAAACAAUGGGGGUCCACCCCCAUUAGGUCACCGAGGCAAGGAGGUGAGCUGUGCACAGUGAAGAGGAUGCAGUGUGCAAUAUCUCUUAUUAAGGGGAAGCUACUUCUAAGGAAUUCUAUAGGAGGAUGCUUUGAGUCAGCACAGUAGCUAGAGAGCUGACAGGUUAUACAGCCACCAAGGUGAGAUUAUACCAAAGGGUUUUAUUUAUUAUACCGAGGGUUUUAAGCCCUCGGACGCUCUCGGGAUUGCCAACCUGAGGCCAGCUUUCACAAGAACUGGACGCAAGUACUGCAACUCCUUUUCAGGAGGACUGCCUCUUGCUCCAAGCCUGCCAUACAGCAGGUAUCCUUACGAUAUUGAACGUUGCCACCUGGGCCAGCCUGCCAUGUAGCGCAUGCCCUUUCAGGCAGAGGCAGUACCGCUUGGGCCAUAGAUUCUUGUCCUGGUAUAACUGUUUUUCCCUUAAAUCAUGCUCUGCACCAUGUCAGCUCUAGACAUUCCUCCGACUAUAAGCAAGAUAUGAUUAUAUAUAUA
Long non-coding RNA from Sapajus apella (tufted capuchin), 854 nucleotides. RefSeq lists it as uncharacterized. The record is from RefSeq and is a predicted model, not a curated record. The transcript has 2 exons. Lineage: Eukaryota; Metazoa; Chordata; Mammalia; Primates; Cebidae.